This 449-nucleotide ribosomal RNA is filed under the name uncultured marine bacterium 311. RNAcentral's name for it is "bacterial SSU rRNA". It matches the Rfam family "Bacterial small subunit ribosomal RNA", at positions 1079 to 1532 of the family's 1533-position model. The record is from RNAcentral.
GUUANCCGUACGAGCGCACCCCUUAUCCUUAUUUGCCAGCGCGUUAAGGCGGGAACUAUAGGGAGACUGCCGGGUGAAACCCGGAGGAAGGCGGGGACGAGGUCAAGUCAUCAUGGCCCUUAUGGGUAGGGCUACACACGUGCUACAAUGGGAAGUACAGAGGGAUGCGAAAGCGCGAGCUGGAGCUAAACCCUUAAAACUUUUCUUAGUCCGGAUUGGAGUCUGCAACUCGACUCCAUGAAGUCGGAAUCACUAGUAAUCGCGAAUCAGAAUGUCGCGGUGAAUACGUUCUCGGGCCUUGUACACACCGCCCGUCACAUCAUGGAAGUGGGUUGCGCCAGAAGUGGUUAGUCUAACCUUUGGAAGACGAUCACCACGGUGUGAUUCAUGACUGGGAUGAAGUCGUAACAAGGUAGCCCUAGGGGAACCUGGGGCUGGAUCACCUCCUU